This 465-nucleotide ribosomal RNA is filed under the name Vreelandella stevensii. RNAcentral describes it as "partial 16S ribosomal RNA". It matches the Rfam family "Bacterial small subunit ribosomal RNA", at positions 338 to 795 of the family's 1533-position model. The record is from RNAcentral. Lineage: Bacteria; Pseudomonadati; Pseudomonadota; Gammaproteobacteria; Oceanospirillales; Halomonadaceae.
CCUACGGGAGGCUGCAGUGGGGAAUAUUGGACAAUGGGGGGAACCCCGAUCCAGCCAUGCCGCGUGUGUGAAGAAGGCCCUCGGGUUGUAAAGCACUUUCAGUGAGGAAGAACGCCUGGUGGUUAAUACCCAUCAGGAAAGACAUCACGCACAGAAGAAGCACCGGCUAACUCCGUGCCAGCAGCCGCGGUAAUACGGAGGGUGCGAGCGUUAAUCGGAAUUACUGGGCGUAAAGCGCGCGUAGGUGGCUUGAUAAGCCGGUUGUGAAAGCCCCGGGCUCAACCUGGGAACGGCAUCCGGAACUGUCAAGCUAGAGUGCAGGAGAGGAAGGUAGAAUUCCCGGUGUAGCGGUGAAAUGCGUAGAGAUCGGGAGGAAUACCAGUGGCGAAGGCGGCCUUCUGGACUGACACUGACACUGAGGUGCGAAAGCGUGGGUAGCAAACAGGAUUAGAUACCCCGGUAGUC